This 353-nucleotide long non-coding RNA is filed under the name Helianthus annuus (common sunflower). RNAcentral's name for it is "hypothetical non coding rna". The record is from RNAcentral. Lineage: Eukaryota; Viridiplantae; Streptophyta; Magnoliopsida; Asterales; Asteraceae.
GCGUCGAAGCGGUGCGCGUCGAACCGGUGCGCGUCGAACCGGUGCGCGUCGAAGCGGUGCGCGUCGAAGCGGUGCGCGUCGAAGCGGUGCGCGUCGAAGCGGUGCGCGUCGAAACGGUACGCGUCGAAACGGUUCGCGUCUACGCGUCGAAGCGGUUCGCGUCUACGCGUCGAAACGGUGCGCGUCGAAACGGUACGCGUCGAAACUGUGCGCGUCGAAACUGUGCGCGUCGAAACUGUGCGCGUCGAAACUGUGUGCGUCGAAACGGUGCGCGUCGAAACGGUACGCGUCGAAACGGUACGAAACUCGUCCCGAUCCGAAACUCGUCUCGUGCGGUAACUCGUGCCGGCCAG